This is a small nuclear RNA of Schistocerca gregaria, 106 nucleotides long. The record is from RefSeq and is a predicted model, not a curated record. Lineage: Eukaryota; Metazoa; Arthropoda; Insecta; Orthoptera; Acrididae.
GUAUUUGCUUCGGCAAUACAUAUACUAAAAUCAGAACGAUACAGAGAGAUUAGCAUGACCUUUGCACAAGGAUGACAAACAUUCCGGCACGGUAGCUCAGCGUGUU